This 497-nucleotide ribosomal RNA is filed under the name uncultured bacterium. RNAcentral describes it as "partial 16S ribosomal RNA". It matches the Rfam family "Bacterial small subunit ribosomal RNA", at positions 28 to 507 of the family's 1533-position model. The record is from RNAcentral.
GAUGAACGCUGGCGGCGUGCCUAAUACAUGCAAGUCGAGCGAACAGACGAGGAGCUUGCUCCUCUGACGUUAGCGGCGGACGGGUGAGUAACACGUGGAUAACCUACCUAUAAGACUGGGAUAACUUCGGGAAACCGGAGCUAAUACCGGAUAAUAUAUUGAACCGCAUGGUUCAAUAGUGAAAGACGGCUUUGCUGUCACUUAUCGAUGGAUCCGCGCCGCAUUAGCUAGUUGGUAAGGUAACGGCUUACCAAGGCAACGAUGCGUAGCCGACCUGAGAGAGUGAUAGGCCACACUGGAACUGAGACACGGACCAGACUCCUACGGGAGGCAGCAGUAGGGAAUCUUCCGCAAUGGGCGAGAGCUUGACGGAGCAAGGCCGCGUGAGUGAUGAAGGUCUUCGGAGCGUAAAACUCUGUUAUGAGGGAAGAACAAAUGUGUAAGUAACUAUGCACGGCUUGACGGUACCUAAUCAGAAAGCCACGGCUAACUACGUG